RNAcentral lists this ribosomal RNA (366 nucleotides) under Triticum aestivum (bread wheat). Its description in RNAcentral is "partial small subunit ribosomal RNA". Lineage: Eukaryota; Viridiplantae; Streptophyta; Magnoliopsida; Poales; Poaceae. The record is from RNAcentral.
AUGGCCGCAGUUGUUGGUGUCGGGGCAGAGGAUGCCGAACACGAAGGAGGCCGAGAACGACCGCACCGUCCGGUUCCGCGCCGCCGGCUCGCGGAAGCGGAACGGCGCCGGGUGGAUGGCGUGGGCCUUCUGGCGGAGCGUGCCGUUGGUGAGCUCGAGAAGACCGGUUGUGGUGACCGCGGCCGCGCCGCCGAGGGUGAUGUUGGCGCCGGCGAAGCUGGAGUAGACGAACUGCUGGCCGACGCUGCAGAUAGCAAGGCUAACAGCGACGAGGAGGAGGAGGAGGAAGCAGCUGAGCUUCAUGUGAGCCUGAGGCAUAGCCGGUAUUGCUCGUACGCGGAGGAGAAAGGCGAAGCCUGCGAAUGA